This 429-nucleotide ribosomal RNA is filed under the name uncultured bacterium. RNAcentral describes it as "bacterial SSU rRNA". It matches the Rfam family "Bacterial small subunit ribosomal RNA", at positions 355 to 776 of the family's 1533-position model. The record is from RNAcentral.
UUAGGAAUAUUCGUCAAUGGGGGAAACCCUGAACGAGCAAUGCCGCGUGAGUGAUGAAGGCCCUAUGGGUUGUAAAACUCUGUUGUAAAGGAAGAACACCUAGUAUAGGAAAUGAUGCUAGGCUGACGGUACUUUACCAGAAAGCCCCGGCUAACUACGUGCCAGCAGCCGCGGUAAUACGUAGGGGGCGAGCGUUAUCCGGAUUUAUUGGGCGUAAAGGGUGCGUAGGCGGUAUGUUAAGUCUAAAAUCAAAGCCCGAGGCUUAACCUCGGUUCGUUUUAGAAACUGGCAAACUAGAGUGCAGUAGAGGCAAGUGGAAUUUCUAGUGUAGCGGUUAAAUGCGUAGAUAUUAGAAGGAACACCAGUGGCGAAGGCGGCUUGCUGGGCUGUAACUGACGCUGAGGCACGAAAGCGUGGGGAGCAAAUAGG